Molecule: RNA transcript, 2634 nt
Organism: Pseudophryne corroboree (corroboree frog)
Lineage: Eukaryota; Metazoa; Chordata; Amphibia; Anura; Myobatrachidae
Gene name: NXPE family member 1-like
Exons: 7
Source: RefSeq, a predicted model, not a curated record
CGGACACAACACAGGGGCAGUUGCAGGAUUUUUAUGGGGAGGGGAGUUCCGUACACACACACACACACAUAUACAUACAUACAUACAGACACACACAUAGUAUAAAUAUAUAUACAAACACAUAUAUACGCACACACACACAGCAUACAUACACAUAGGAGACUCAUAAUAGUAUACAUACACAUACAUGAUAUACUAACAUACACAGUACACAACAUGCAUACACAGCAGACACUAUACAUACUGUACACACACACACACACAUAUCUUUCACAAAAAAAUAAAACAGCCACCAUAAUUGCUGCCAGCCCCUGCCGGGUCAGCGAGAAUCCGUCUGACCAGCAUCUUUAAUUAAAGCCGCCCGCGUACGGAUCCACCACACCGGACCCGCCACUACCGCCGGCACCCCUAACAUGCGUCUCAUACUUGCAGACAGGAGAGGAGACGCUGCAUCCGUCCAGCCCCAUGAGAAGGGAAAUACUUGAGGACCGUCCCCCUAGGGUUCGCGUUGCCGCAGGAGGAGACUGAGAGUGAUCUUCACAUACACACUGAUGGCUGUAGCAAGGAACAGAGUAAUUUUUGUAGUCGCCAUCGUGUUUCUGCUGAGCUUUCUAAGCCACCGGAACAUAUUACAGGAUUCUCUGAGGCAUUUGCUUGGAGGCUGCAUUGCCCCAGUCGAACAAAAUAAUAUUGGUCAGGAGAUUACUGGGAUGACCAUGCCAGAUGAUACACCAAGAAAGAGCAAUCUGCAAUCUCAGAUAGAUGCAGUGUUUAUCAGAAUUCAGAAUCUCAUCCCCCAUGUUCCUUUUACUCCGUUUAAUGAAAGCACAAGUGGAAGACACAGUACGGCCUUCAUAGUCAAUCCCAGAGAACAGUAUUGUGUUGGAGACGACUUUGUGGUACAGCUCAUUAUGUACAAUUACUUGGGCAACAGGAAGACCUAUGGAGGAGACUUCAUUAGGCCAAGACUGUUCUCUAAAAAGCUUGGAGCUUCUAUGUCCGGAAGAGUGGAAGACUUCAACAAUGGGUCUUACCAUGUCCACUUUACUUUGUACUGGGCGGGCAAAGCCAAAGUCUCCUGUUUGUUGUGGCACCCCAGCGAAGGCAUUGCAGCUCUCUGGAGAGCGAGACAUUCCAGUUUGGGAGUUCUUGGUUUUCAGGGCCAUUAUGUAAGCUUCGGAAAGCAAGCCGUCUCUACCUGUGGUUUUCAGCUGGACACAAAGGAGGAGGUGUGUGAGUACAAAGAUGACUUUUAUGAAGAGGCCUUCUACUGUAUCAAACCUCGGAACUUCUCGUGCGACUGUUUAACAAACAUGAGAGCGGUGGAUAUUCAGGCAUCAUUUCUUACUCCCGGAGAAAAGCAGCUGUUCCAAUGGUCAAAUGUUGGUGUGGAGAUUGCCCAAAAUGUGCAGAUAAUGGUAACAAAUUGUGGAAAAUUAUCAACCCCAAAACCAAAAUGUCAGACAGGAAUGAGCUCUCCAAUCCCAAGUGGAUACUUUCUCAAUGAUACCUGGAACCCUGUUUACUGCAACAUGAUGACCUAUACAACCGGGGAGGACUUCACUAAAUGCCUGCAAGGAAAGAGACUCUUUCUCAUUGGAGACUCAACAUUACGCCAGUUUAUCAUGCACUUCACUGAGGGCAUCAAAAUAGCAAAGUAUUUUCGUUACCAUGAGAGUGGAUGGCAUAGCUGGGAGAAGACACUUGAGGCUUUGAACAUGGAUAAAGAUAUGUAUAUCUCAUACAAAAGGCAUGGUUUCCCCUUAGAGAGUUUUAUGUUCUAUUACUUCAAGGAGGACCUGUACACGAGUCGUCAAAUUGACCGAUGUGGCGGGGGAAAGGACACUAUCAUUGUUAUUACAAUGGGACAACACUUUAGACAGUUCCCCCUUAAACUUUACAUAAAACGGGCUCUAAACAUCCGUAGAGCGACAGAACGACUAUUUCUCAGGAGCCCCGACACCAAAGUCAUCAUCAAAACUGAAAAUACCAGAGAAAUUAAUUCCCCUCCUGAAAGAAUUGGUGACUUCCAUGGUUAUUCUCAGUAUCUGGUGCUGAGGGAAGUUUUCCAGGGGAUCAAUGUUGGCUUUGUGGAUGCUUGGGACAUGACGGUGGCUUCAGCCACAGCGACUGUACAUCCUCCAGGAGCCACGUUUGCAAGUAUUAUGAGUCUGACAUUUACUUUUGCUUGUUAAAGAACAAGUUUGCCGUGACUGAAAGCAACUGAACCAUUCCUGAGAUUCUCUCAGUGUUAUUGUAUUAUUCGAACCAUUGGUAUAUGGUCCCAUGUUUGUCACAGUUGGCGGGCAGCGGGAGAAAGCGGCGCGCAAGGCAUGGUGAAGGGGGAAGCCAGCUGAGGUAUGCAGAUUCACCCUCGGUGAAUGGACACACGCCCGGCCCCAGCCGUGGACGGUUGGGCCCGUGGGCUGCGCGCCAGGCGAGCGUGAUAUGCACCGCAGGGGCUGGUUCCCAAGGGGGUCGUUGCCGCGGUGCCUACUGGGUAGGCAGGGCACGCCCCAGGAAAAAUGGAAUGAGUGGGUAACACAUUCCACCUUGCCCACCACUUUUCUGUCCAUGCCCUGCAACCUUGUAAGGUGGUAUAUUAAUAAACUGUGGCCAGUGAUUUUACCCAAA